GACACACACACACACAUAAGUGCCUUACAUCCGAAGGGAGUUAUUUGUGUUUAAAGAAUCACUAACAUUUAUCACAUGGCCAGAGUGAAACCAAAGAUUUUCCCAUAGCAUUUCUUUUUGCAAAGGCAAUGAAAAACUAUUGUACUACAUAUUACAUCAUGCUCGUUAUACAGUAAACUGCAUCAAUUGCUAUAUUUAAACAUCAAGACAAGCAUUUUAACAAGUCUCAGCUCUGGUCAGGGGAGGGUUAACACUGAGACACACUGAUCAUCAGGUGCAGCCCACCAGUCAAAAUAUCACUUCACCCUACCGUCCCCAAACAACCUGAAAUCCCCCUCAGCACAUUCAAACAUCCUACAGGUUAUUUCUCACAGCUCUGACCAAUGCCAUCCAUCGCUGUCGGGACUGGAUCUGCCUUCAUCUUAAAAACAGCAUUCUCUUUAAAACACAUCCCAUAUCAGUAUGGUGCAAUCAGACAUUUGAUCUGCUUUAAAAGCACAGAAGAAUAGAUGCUGUGCAUGGAGGAAUCUGAUCACACACGUCUGAUAUUAUCCGACCGCAGUGAUGUCAGGCUUUAAAUGGGAACCUACACCUAUUUCCAUGAUGUAAUGGCUUCUCCACGCUCUUUUCUGGCACUGAGGAUUGAAGAUCAAAUAAUGGAGCACCCUAAAAUACACGAUAAGUCAGGAAGCCUAUGGAGACUCAAUACUUGGACGGAUCACUUUACAGAACCAAGUCAGCAUUUUCUGGGAAGACUGACAUAAGAGGACACAAGAUCUCCAACUAGAAGAUCGUCUGUGUGCCAGAGCAGCCGCUUUUAUCAGACACGAGUGUCUAUCUUACAAACACCCAACACUGCUCUCUCAACCACAUCUGAAGAAAUGGUUUCUGCUGAAAUCCCUGCCAUGAUGCAUUGUGGGUGGUUGCCAGGGUGUUGCUGUGCAGUUGCUAUGGUCUUUAGAGUGGCCUUUAGAGAAUAACUACUGCAGUUUCUAGGGUGUUUGCCAGCUGGAUCUUGUGCUUAUCAUCUCUCUUUGUCAGUGAUUUCACGAGAAGCUGAUGUAACGGUAAUGACAGGCGAGUCUUUGGGAUGGGCCCAGAGUCUAAAGCCAUCAACACCUGCUGAUAUGUUGUUUGAUACUUUCGCUGACAGUAGAGCGGCGCGUCCGUCAUCACCAAUGCGUUACGGAGAUCCGUUCUCCAGCCUCGGAGACCAGUGCAUAUGGAUCUGUAAUGUGUGUGUAUGACACACACCUUAUUAACUUCAGUUAAAGAAGUGAGCUACUAAACAUGUUGUGUCAACUAUUAUCUAAAAUAAAGUCAACCUAGAAAGACAAGUGGCUAGUCUAAACACAACACAUGACUGUAUUAAAAUGAUCCCAACUCAGAGGUCUUUACAACCCAGUAAACCCAGUAAAGCGUUAUUUUACAGUUUUAAAUAAUUUUGUCCAUUUAAUGUUGACUGCAUUAAAACAGCAAGUCGGUCCAUGUUUUAUAUAUUUUUUAUGCUACUAAAAUUUAAUUCAAUUAAAUGAAUAAAUAAAUACAAAUUUAAUUGCGUAUUGCUAUCUAAUUAAUUAUUAUUGAGCACAUCUAAAAUGAAAAAUUUGCUGUCAUAUAUAUAUAUAUAUAUAUUUUCACACUGACUUUCCAAAUUAUCUAUAAACAAUACAAUGACAGUAUUUUUAAUAUUUGAUUUUAAUAUUUGUUUAAUGGCUUUUCAUGAUGGCCAUUAUUAUUCACUAUUGAUACUAAUAACUCUUUAAUUUUUGGGUAUAAGAUUAAUAAUUAUAGCCGUUCAUCAUUACAACAUCACUGAAAGCCAGACCCAAACUGAAAAUUAUCAGACUGUUAAUAAAUUAUAAACAAAAACAAAAUUAUAGCUAUUAUUACAACUUUUAAUUUAAUUGAACUUAAAUUCAGGAAAUUUACCACAACAUAAGUACAGAAUAUACAUGGUUGCAGUUAAACAAUCUAUUGAUUUAAUUAGUUCCCAGCAUGCUUUGCACAGAACUUUGAUAAGCAGAAUAAAAGUUUAAAUGAAGUCAUAUUUUAUUAUUGUUUAGUCAGUGUAGUUUGUUGUUUGACCAUAAUUCCAUUAGAAGUUGCAUUAACUCAAAAUGAUCAGUGAAAACUAUUGCAUUAUUUAAAUUUAUUUAUUUUUAGACAAACAUUUUUUUUUUGAGUGUAACCUAGUAUUUUUACAUUAACAAUGUUCAUAAAAAGGUUGCAUACAUUGCAAACAUUCUUAAAAAAGUAAUUAAAAAAGCUGAGAGGAUAUUUAGUUUGAGAAUCUUUGACCGCUGGUUGAAAAACCCCUAUUCUAGGAUCUAUUUGUGAGCUCAAUGCCCAGGUUCACACGCGUCUGUCAUGCUGUGAUGUGUCCUGCAUUACUCCGUUUCCUUUGAGCUUUAACGUGUCACUCUUCCCUCGCCAUAAAGCCAGUCCUGUCUGGUUCCUCAGUCCCAGCAGACCCGAACCCUCACAGUAAUCCUGCAGGACACGCUUGUUCAGCAGCAGGUUAAGCAUGAACCUUCAUCAUGAAAGCGUUUCUCCAGCGUCUCCUGAAUAGCUAUGAGCUCACUGCAUAUUCAAUAUCCUACAUCAUAAAUCAGUGCAUUAGCCAUAUUACUGUGCAUGUCGAGACAGAGUCGGAUAUUUCUCGUUUGCAUUGUCUCAG
Long non-coding RNA from Carassius gibelio (silver crucian carp), 2680 nucleotides. RefSeq lists it as uncharacterized. NCBI's taxonomy places the organism in Eukaryota, Metazoa, Chordata, Actinopteri, Cypriniformes, Cyprinidae. The record is from RefSeq and is a predicted model, not a curated record. The transcript is spliced from 3 exons.